This 2140-nucleotide ribosomal RNA is filed under the name Salmonella enterica. Its description in RNAcentral is "bacterial LSU rRNA". It matches the Rfam family "Bacterial large subunit ribosomal RNA", at positions 692 to 2812 of the family's 2925-position model. Lineage: Bacteria; Pseudomonadati; Pseudomonadota; Gammaproteobacteria; Enterobacterales; Enterobacteriaceae. The record is from RNAcentral.
GCGUUAAGUUGCAGGGUAUAGACCCGAAACCCGGUGAUCUAGCCAUGGGCAGGUUGAAGGUUGGGUAACACUAACUGGAGGACCGAACCGACUAAUGUUGAAAAAUUAGCGGAUGACCUGUGGCUGGGGGUGAAAGGCCAAUCAAACCGGGAGAUAGCUGGUUCUCCCCGAAAGCUAUUUAGGUAGCGCCUCGUGAAUUCAUCUCCGGGGGUAGAGCACUGUUUCGGCUAGGGGGCCAUCCCGGCUUACCAACCCGAUGCAAACUGCGAAUACCGGAGAAUGUUAUCACGGGAGACACACGGCGGGUGCUAACGUCCGUCGUGAAGAGGGAAACAACCCAGACCGCCAGCUAAGGUCCCAAAGUCAUGGUUAAGUGGGAAACGAUGUGGGAAGGCCCAGACAGCCAGGAUGUUGGCUUAGAAGCAGCCAUCAUUUAAAGAAAGCGUAAUAGCUCACUGGUCGAGUCGGCCUGCGCGGAAGAUGUAACGGGGCUAAACCAUGCACCGAAGCUGCGGCAGCGACACUCAGGUGUUGUUGGGUAGGGGAGCGUUCUGUAAGCCUGCGAAGGUGGCCUGUGAGGGUUGCUGGAGGUAUCAGAAGUGCGAAUGCUGACAUAAGUAACGAUAAAGCGGGUGAAAAGCCCGCUCGCCGGAAGACCAAGGGUUCCUGUCCAACGUUAAUCGGGGCAGGGUGAGUCGACCCCUAAGGCGAGGCCGAAAGGCGUAGUCGAUGGGAAACGGGUUAAUAUUCCCGUACUUGGUGUUACUGCGAAGGGGGGACGGAGAAGGCUAUGUUGGCCGGGCGACGGUUGUCCCGGUUUAAGCGUGUAGGUGUGUGUUCCAGGUAAAUCCGGUUCACUUUAACACUGAGGCGUGAUGACGAGGCACUACGGUGCUGAAGCAACAAAUGCCCUGCUUCCAGGAAAAGCCUCUAAGCAUCAGGUAACAUCAAAUCGUACCCCAAACCGACACAGGUGGUCAGGUAGAGAAUACCAAGGCGCUUGAGAGAACUCGGGUGAAGGAACUAGGCAAAAUGGUGCCGUAACUUCGGGAGAAGGCACGCUGACACGUAGGUGAAGUGAUUUACUCAUGGAGCUGAAGUCAGUCGAAGAUACCAGCUGGCUGCAACUGUUUAUUAAAAACACAGCACUGUGCAAACACGAAAGUGGACGUAUACGGUGUGACGCCUGCCCGGUGCCGGAAGGUUAAUUGAUGGGGUCAGCGCAAGCGAAGCUCCUGAUCGAAGCCCCGGUAAACGGCGGCCGUAACUAUAACGGUCCUAAGGUAGCGAAAUUCCUUGUCGGGUAAGUUCCGACCUGCACGAAUGGCGUAAUGAUGGCCAGGCUGUCUCCACCCGAGACUCAGUGAAAUUGAACUCGCUGUGAAGAUGCAGUGUACCCGCGGCAAGACGGAAAGACCCCGUGAACCUUUACUAUAGCUUGACACUGAACAUUGAGCCUUGAUGUGUAGGAUAGGUGGGAGGCUUUGAAGUGUGGACGCCAGUCUGCAUGGAGCCGACCUUGAAAUACCACCCUUUAAUGUUUGAUGUUCUAACGUGGACCCGUGAUCCGGGUUGCGGACAGUGUCUGGUGGGUAGUUUGACUGGGGCGGUCUCCUCCUAAAGAGUAACGGAGGAGCACGAAGGUUGGCUAAUCCUGGUCGGACAUCAGGAGGUUAGUGCAAUGGCAUAAGCCAGCUUGACUGCGAGCGUGACGGCGCGAGCAGGUGCGAAAGCAGGUCAUAGUGAUCCGGUGGUUCUGAAUGGAAGGGCCAUCGCUCAACGGAUAAAAGGUACUCCGGGGAUAACAGGCUGAUACCGCCCAAGAGUUCAUAUCGACGGCGGUGUUUGGCACCUCGAUGUCGGCUCAUCACAUCCUGGGGCUGAAGUAGGUCCCAAGGGUAUGGCUGUUCGCCAUUUAAAGUGGUACGCGAGCUGGGUUUAGAACGUCGUGAGACAGUUCGGUCCCUAUCUGCCGUGGGCGCUGGAGAACUGAGGGGGGCUGCUCCUAGUACGAGAGGACCGGAGUGGACGCAUCACUGGUGUUCGGGUUGUCAUGCCAAUGGCACUGCCCGGUAGCUAAAUGCGGAAGAGAUAAGUGCUGAAAGCAUCUAAGCACGAAACUUGCCCCGAGAUGAGUUCU